Molecule: transfer RNA, 73 nt
Filed under: Prevotella sp.
Lineage: Bacteria; Pseudomonadati; Bacteroidota; Bacteroidia; Bacteroidales; Prevotellaceae
Also listed under: 1 other name
Description: tRNA-Pro
Rfam family: tRNA
About the family: Transfer RNA (tRNA) molecules are approximately 80 nucleotides in length. Their secondary structure includes four short double-helical elements and three loops (D, anti-codon, and T loops).
Source: RNAcentral
CGGGGCGUAGCGCAGUUGGUAGCGCACCUGGUUUGGGACCAGGAUGUCGCAGGUUCGAGUCCUGUCGCCCCGA